GAGCACCAGCUGUGGUCUCUUGUCACCUGCUAUAAAAGCUCCUCGAGUCAGUCCUCUUAACAACUGUCACUGAAGUGAUGGCUGUUGUUUGGCUCGUGGUUGUUUUGGUGCAUGCUGUCUUGAUGGAUAAUGGCCUUUGUUUUACAGCUGGGGUUAAACAAGGUGCAUCCAAUGCUCUGGUUCAAAAAGGUGUUCCAGGUGUUAUUUGAAAAGAGGGGUCAGAGACCAGCCGAGCCACAACAUGAGCGGAAAGGGCCAACAGAACGACGCCUUCAGGCACGACCAGAAGAGCCGCAACACGAGUGGCAAGGGCCAACAGAACGACUUCUUCAACCAGAGUGAGAAUCUUCACAUCUGACAUGAGCAACAGCUAUCAGAAUGGAUGAUGGUGACUCAACAGACGGUGUCUUCACUGUGAAUGUUUGCCGUGUACCGUUGUCUUGAUGGCUGCAGCAUGAUUGAAGGCCUUGAUCUCAGUUUCAUGUAACAUGUCUGACAAUUAAAACAUUUUACCUUCA
Molecule: long non-coding RNA, 518 nt
Organism: Phyllopteryx taeniolatus (common seadragon)
Lineage: Eukaryota; Metazoa; Chordata; Actinopteri; Syngnathiformes; Syngnathidae
Exons: 3
Source: RefSeq, a predicted model, not a curated record